CGUGUAGGCGGCCAGACAGGUCCGUUGUGAAAACUCGAGGCUCAACCUCGAGACGUCGACGGAAACCGUCUGGCUAGAGUCCGGAAGAGGAGUGUGGAAUUCCUGGUGUAGCGGUGAAAUGCGCAGAUAUCAGGAAGAACACCUAUGGCGAAGGCAGCACUCUGGGACGGUACUGACGCUGAGACGCGAAAGCGUGGGGAGCGAACA
RNAcentral lists this ribosomal RNA (207 nucleotides) under uncultured bacterium. Its description in RNAcentral is "partial 16S ribosomal RNA". It matches the Rfam family "Bacterial small subunit ribosomal RNA", at positions 568 to 774 of the family's 1533-position model. The record is from RNAcentral.